AAAUCAUUUAAAUUAUUGUCUGAAGUUUAUCAAUUGGAAUGAAAAUGUUGAGGAUCUUAUUUCUGUGUGUUCUGAACUGUCUGAGCUACAAAUAUAAAGGAACUGCCUUAAACUCUUGAAUUUUUAUCAUGAGUAGUUUUUUUAAUCUUCCUGUGAACAUUUUCUUUACUC
This is a long non-coding RNA of Hibiscus syriacus, 171 nucleotides long. RefSeq lists it as uncharacterized. The record is from RefSeq and is a predicted model, not a curated record. The transcript is spliced from 3 exons. Lineage: Eukaryota; Viridiplantae; Streptophyta; Magnoliopsida; Malvales; Malvaceae.